CCUACGGGGGGCAGCAGUGGGGGAUAUUGCACAAUGGGGGGAACCCUGAUGCAGCGACGCCGCGUGGGUGAAGGAGUGCUUCGGCAUGUAAAGCCCUAUCGGCAGGGAAGAAGCAAGACGGUACCUGACUAAGAAGCCCCGGCUAACUACGUGCCAGCAGCCGCGGUAAUACGUAGGGGGCGAGCGUUAUCCGGAUUCACUGGGUGUAAAGGGAGCGUAGACGGCCAUGCAAGCCAGGGGUGAAAGCCCGGGGCCCAACCCCGGGACUGCCUUUGGAACUGUGCGGCUAGAGUGCGGGAGGGGCAGGCGGAAUUCCUGGUGUAGCGGUGAAAUGCGUAGAUAUCAGGAGGAACACCGGCGGCGAAGGCGGCCUGCUGGACGGCGACUGACGUUGAGGCUCGAAAGCGUGGGGAGCGAACAGGAUUAGAUACCCCUGUAGUC
RNAcentral lists this ribosomal RNA (441 nucleotides) under uncultured bacterium. RNAcentral describes it as "partial 16S ribosomal RNA". It matches the Rfam family "Bacterial small subunit ribosomal RNA", at positions 338 to 795 of the family's 1533-position model. The record is from RNAcentral.